GCUGAACGCUGGCGGCGUGCCUAAUACAUGCAAGUCGAGCGAAGCGGGGUCGGGUGUGUAACACGUGGAUAACCUCCUAUAAGACUGGGCUCACUUCGGGAAACCGUAGCUAAACCGGAUACUCCUAGAUGGCUCCGCGCUGCAUUAGCUAGGUGGUACGGUAACGUCUUACCAAGGCAACGAUGCAUAGCCGACCUGAGAGAGGGAUCGGCGAAGAUGAAGAUGAGACACGGUGCAGAAACCUACGGGAAGCAGCGAUAGGGAAUCUUCCGCAAUGGGCGAAGGCCAGAAGGGGCGAAGGCGCGUGAGUGAUGAGGGUCUUCGGAUCGUAAAACUCUGUUGUUAGGGAAGCGGUAGCUAAUCAGAAAGCCACGGGUAACUGCGUGCCAGCAGCCGCGGUAAUUC
This 405-nucleotide ribosomal RNA is filed under the name uncultured bacterium. RNAcentral's name for it is "partial 16S ribosomal RNA". It matches the Rfam family "Bacterial small subunit ribosomal RNA", at positions 28 to 526 of the family's 1533-position model. The record is from RNAcentral.